RNAcentral lists this ribosomal RNA (216 nucleotides) under Glomeromycotina sp. Its description in RNAcentral is "partial small subunit ribosomal RNA". The stretch from base 40 to 216 matches the Rfam family "Eukaryotic small subunit ribosomal RNA", at positions 686 to 864 of the family's 1831-position model. The record is from RNAcentral. Lineage: Eukaryota; Fungi; Glomeromycota.
GGGUCAGUAGGUUGGUCGUGCCACCGGUACGUACUGGUCUCACUGAUUCCUCCUUCCUGAAGAACCGUAAUGCCAUUAAUUUGGUGUUGCGGGGAAACAGGACUGUUACUUUGAAAAAAUUAGAGUGUUUAAAGCAAGCUAACGCUUGAAUACAUUAGCAUGGAAUAAUGAAAUAGGACGAUCGACCCUGUUUUGUUGGUUUCUAGGAUUGACGUA